Molecule: transfer RNA, 77 nt
Filed under: Pelagicoccus albus
Lineage: Bacteria; Pseudomonadati; Verrucomicrobiota; Opitutia; Puniceicoccales; Pelagicoccaceae
Description: tRNA-Arg
Rfam family: tRNA
About the family: Transfer RNA (tRNA) molecules are approximately 80 nucleotides in length.
Source: RNAcentral
GCGGCAGUAGCUCAGCUGGAUAGAGCAGUUGAUUUCUAAUCAACGGGUCGGGGGUUCGAGUCCCUCCUGCCGUGCCA